UGGCCAAUAUUCCUUCUGCACCUUUAUUUUAAAGCAUUUUUACACCUGUCAUAUCUUGCUAGAUGAUUGAGAAGGAAUGAGUCUUCCCAUUUUAUAGGUGAGAAAACUGAGGUUCAAAAUGGUAUCACCUAUCAUCAGGAGGACAAUAGUCCCCAUCAGAGGCUCACAUGCCCAUGGAGUCAAGUGGACAUGGGUUUUUUUUAAUUUUUAUUUUUUAAUGUUUAUUUAUUUUUGAGACAGAGACAGAGCGUGAGCAAGGGAGGGGCAGAGACAGAGGGAGACACAGAAUCCAAAGCAGGCUCCAGGCUCCGAGCUGUCAGCACAGAGCCCGAUGCGGGGCUCAAACCCAAGAACCGUGAGAUCCUGACCUGAGCUGAAGUCGGACCCUUAACUGAUUGAGCCACCCAGGCGCCCCAAGUGGACGUGUUUUUAACUGACUGGCAAGCAGAAGAGUGGCAUCCGGAGCAAGAACCAUCGGUAUACCAGACAGAGCUGGGUUCCCAACUGAGAUCCCGUGGCUGCAAAACUACUACAUUCUAGAAAAGAUAAAAAGUACCAUAAUUCAGAAAGAGUAGGUCUGCUUUAAGAGCUAACCUUUUAGUCCAGGCAGAAGAGAGAGGUUAAGAACUCCCUGAAGGCAGAAACUUAUUUUGCCUUUGCGUACCUGGUGCCUAGCACAGUUCUGGUACUUAAUAAAAUGUUUGUUGACUUGAGUAUGGAGCUUGGCAGGAAGGAGGCAGAAGAGAAAACUUGCGUGAGUUUAGAAUCAAGAAUCUGAGGGGGAGACAGCCUAGGAGGUGUGGGUCCAAGAGAGAAACUCCAGACAUUUGUGGCCCUGGUUCCUUUACUCCAAAUCGUGAGGACAUCCUCCAGAGGCACAGGGUGCUGUGGCUUUAAAUGACUUCCGUGUGUCAGUGAAUCUGCUCUGCUAAAAGAGUUAUCCUCUUGCUCCUGCGCUUGGCCUCCCCCUCCUCGCAGCUCCCCAAACCCUUCUCGGCCGCUGUGAUGGGAUAAUUAGAUGCGAGAGCUCAGCACAGAUGAUGCUCCAGUUGCUUAGCAACUAAUGGUUUCCAUGGAGACCGCAAAGCACAGCCUCCAGAGCAGCCAGUGAGCAGCUCGGCAGGGCAGGGAGAAGACGCAACUCUCAGUUCCUCCAGAAACCUGGGGAGGGCCGGGUGGGGAAGGGGGGCUGGAGGGAGAAGGGAGGGCUUAAAGGCACAGGGCCCUCUUAUCCCUUUAAAAUCCGGCCAGGGCUCUGCCCUGCCCUACUCCACUCUGCCCCACUCAUAAUUUCAGAUGGGAUGGGGGCUUAGAUGUGGACCCAACACAACGCACCCUGCAAGAAACCCGAUCUCUUCUUUCUGCUUCUUGGUUUAUGAGUGAAAUGGGAAGACAUACCUCCCAAGCCUGAGCAUAAACAUCCUUCCAGGUUAGUGAUGGGAUUUGAAGAGCGAGCAUCAGGAAGAUCCCCUCGCUCCUAGAAUGCCACCACCUACUUCUUCCCUCUCUCCAAAGUUCUCCUCAACGUGCAAACAGUCCUCUUUCAGUUUGUAGAAUGAUGGUAGGAUCUGAUGGAAAAGGGAACAAAAGCCAAGGUGCCGGAAAAACAGAAUUCAGUUCUUCACCCCAAGGCAGCCUGUUCUGGGAGACUGGGGAAACACACUUGCCCCUGAUCCCCACCAGUGUGUGUGUGUGUGUGUGUGUGUGUGUGUGUGUGUGUGUGUGUGUAUGUGUAUGGGGUGCAAUAUGGAACAUCUGGCAAUUCAAAGUGUGGGCCUCUCAGACUAGCAUCAAUUGAUGUUACCUGGAAACUUGUUAGAAAUGAGACUUUCAGGCUUCACCUCAGACCCACUGAAUCAGAAACUGCAUCUCAUCCCUGGUGAUUCAUAGGCACAUUCAAUGUGGAGAAGCACUGGUCUGAGACCCUCUGACCCUCUGCUUGGGUCUGACCCUGGCCCUUCUCUGGGUCUGGGGAAGACAGAACAGUUCAUGGCACAGAGACCUACAUCAGCGCUGUCUGUACAGCUCUUGGCCUCUCCCUGUGGAGUAUCCCGCUUCCCACAGUGGUUGCUGAGCCAGGCUGACUGUGCCCACCGCUGCUGGAUGGGGUUGAUGGCCACCCCUCCGGUCUCUCUGGAAGUCUUCCCUAGCGUCCCUCGGCCCAGCUC
This is a long non-coding RNA of Acinonyx jubatus (cheetah), 2168 nucleotides long. RefSeq lists it as uncharacterized. The transcript has 3 exons. Lineage: Eukaryota; Metazoa; Chordata; Mammalia; Carnivora; Felidae. The record is from RefSeq and is a predicted model, not a curated record.